UCAGCUUUCCCUCCUCACAACCUGCUUCAGAGGAAGAUGUGGCCCUGGCCCUUGCCAAGCCCCACGUUUCAGGUGGGUGACUUGGGUCACGUUGAAUGGUUUCAACUUGCCUGGUCAUUUUUGCGGUCCCACACUGCUGUGCAAAGUGACACCACCUCUACUUCCUCAUAGAAAACCAAAACGCCAAGACAUCAGUAGAAUCUGGUGUGACAGAGAGCCCAGAUGUGGAUGAUGUCAUCUGGCCCCCUGGCGACAGCUGUGCUUGUGACUAGCCCGGAGCCC
Non-coding RNA from Vicugna pacos (alpaca), 282 nucleotides. NCBI's taxonomy places the organism in Eukaryota, Metazoa, Chordata, Mammalia, Artiodactyla, Camelidae. The record is from RefSeq and is a predicted model, not a curated record.